AAUGAGCACACAUUCAACAUGAAAAACAAAUUGUUAUGAUCUUGUAUUGUAAUUUCAUGAUGCAGCAUUAAUGGAACUGCAUGAAAAGAUAUUCUUGAAACGGCAUGUCAAAGAUGGUGAAAGCCCAAUGGCUUCAUGUGCUUUCUGUGCACGGUCUGCAUUUGGUGAUUCACAUUCCUUGGCAAUGGAAUGCAAACAGGUGGUAAAUUCCAUCCAAUGUAACAAUACAACAUUGAGGCUGAUAACAAACAAGUACCAUGAGGGAAAUAUGAAAAGGACUUUGGAAAGAGAAUUAAAAGAGUUUGCAUUUGCUUGGCAUAAAACAAAUUAAUGUUGUCAUGGCCAAAAGAUUGUUGCAUUUCUGGGUGUGUGCCAACAUUGCUUAGCAAGUGUAAUGCUUCUUUCCCCACAAAGCUGUUGCAUUCAUGGAUCAUUCUUGUUUGGUGCUGGCAAUAUGUGUUGCAUAGUGGUGCUCUGCUUGCAUUUCCGAUUUAUGAUGUUAUGCGCACGCCUUUUGAAGCUGGACAGACAUGGCUGGGUGGUUUGUGCAUCUUCUUGGAGGAGUGGCUUGUGUGCUGACAAAGAAGGUUGCUUGACCCGUCUUGAAACACGGACCAAGGAGUCUAACAGACGUGCAAAAGAAUGAUUCAAAAUGUGGCAAAACUGAAAGUAAGAGUUAGCAUGUGUGCUCCAACGGCCAAAUGCUUGGUAGACACGCAUUUGAAUUUGAGCAUGUUUGUUAGGACCCGAAAGAUGGUGAACUAUGCUUGAUCAGAAUGAAUUCAGAGGAAACUCUGACGGAAGUUCGUAUCGAUACUGACGU
RNAcentral lists this ribosomal RNA (823 nucleotides) under Coolia tropicalis. Its description in RNAcentral is "eukaryotic LSU rRNA". It matches the Rfam family "Eukaryotic large subunit ribosomal RNA", at positions 96 to 892 of the family's 3401-position model. The record is from RNAcentral. Lineage: Eukaryota; Dinophyceae; Peridiniales; Ostreopsidaceae.